CAAUUUUAUUUGCUAAACCACACCCAAAAGGUCAUAUCCGGCCGUAAUACACGUAUCAAAUUACAUUGAAAACCUUGUUUGGGACAGCCAGCACUGGCCGGUAAACGGAAUAGAGAGUGGCCGUACUUCAGGGUUCAAAGAAGUCUGCUGUACUUAUAUUGUAUGAUUAUCAACUCUAUUGCUAUUGUUUUGUUUUAUGCCAUGAUUAUGAAGAUGCAUGAAUGAGAAAAGUGGGCAUCAAAACCGCAAGUAUAUGGACUAUUUUUUGCGUCAAUUUAUAAGAGCAGUAAGUACUUUCAGCAAGCUUUAUUGGUAUCUAUAUGUAGCUAAGUACCUUCCAGAGGGCCAGACAAAGAGAUAUUCGUUGUAGAACUUCAUACGGGCGAGUAAAAGCUAAGAGUAGACGGCAAGUAUCUAAAAAUACGCUUGAUCCCAAAAAGACACAAGAGUCUACUGUAUGAAACAUGGCUGCAGGAUAGAAACAGAAGUCAUGCAGGAGGACGAAGUUGACAAAUACUACAAGUUGAAGACAUGCUUUCAUGCUUGUGACAAUGGACCCAGAACUGUUAUAAUCAUUGGCUCUUAGUGUUCCUCGUAGAGACAAGAAAAGAUACUGGUGAGCCCUACCAUCAACCCAGCAAACGCUAUAGAAACUGGUAGUGAAAAAACUGAACAGCCAUAGCUAAUUAUCAUGCAGCUAGCUACAGCUUUAUUAUCAUUUCUGUGCAUUCAAAAAAAUUAUACUUGUACUUUAUACCCUCAAGCUUAUAAUUCCCUGGGAAACUAUGAGAUUAUGGCUCAUAAUUCCCUGCUAAACACACACAAGUGGGAUCUAAGACAGUUAAACCCCACUAGACUACACAGCCAAAAAUCCACGGGGCGUGUCAGGUCCGUUACAUGUCCGUUACAGGACGUUGUGAACUUCCUGAUACGGGACCGUUGGGUAGACACUACUAAACAGGCCGUUCUAACAGGUGCUUCACAGGCCCUUCUAACAGGUGCUUCACAGGCCGUUCUAUCAGGUGCUUUACAGGCCGUUCUGUAUCUAACAGGUGCUUUACAGGCUGUUGUGUUACUAUAUCAUGAGCUACUGUAUUGAGAAAAUAAUUGGCACACUUGAGAUCUUUAAGAGGGCAGCACCACCGCUACCUGCGUGUCGUCAGGAAACUUCAAAAGGGUUGAUAGUAGUCCAUAUGCAAUCUGCAAUGAGGAGACUGAUGACAAUGCAAUGAGUGCCAUGCUGGUAGAUCUCCUUGGAAGAGUUGAGUGUGUGAGGGUGAAUAUUGAAGGCAUACUGCCGCACUUCUUGAGAGGUGAGUAGAUGGGCUAGAUCAUCUCCAAUUCUAAGUGUGGGGAAAAUAAUCCAAAUUGAUUUUAUGUUUAGGCCAAAUAACCCAGGCAUAAUCUAUUAAAAAUCGAAGAUGAGAGGAGUCUUUUUUUCUUGGUAGGGCAACAACUUGGCCACUCCUCCUUACAUGUCACAUACAAAGUAGAAAAAGUAAAGGCACCAUGUGAAGAGAUGGUAAUUAAACAUGGCCAUAUUAAAGCAAAUAAAAGGAUCCAUGUAGCCCAUGAGGGGUCAAAAAAUUGAAGCAGGAGGGCCUGAGAAACAAGUCAUUAAGUUUGUGUGGCCUUAUGACCAAUAAAAACUAAAAGGUCCAGCUGUAGUGUAUAAAGAGUACAAGUAUAUAAAUAUUAUACGAAUGCGUUAUCUAGUCUGUUAUACAAUGUACCUUACUGUAGCGUCUUCUGGUGCUAUACACCCUUGUUCAGUAGGAAGUAGAGUUGCUCCAUCACUGCAAAUCUCUUGGCAAUGUCACGACUCGAUGACUGCCGAUUGGUGUGCAGGUUGUGCUCACGCAUGAGUCCAUUGAAACUUUCGCACCUGAAAAGGUGAAACUUAGGUUUAAGGAGCAACUCCGGCUUGGCAUGCCUCACGGUCUCAACUAACUCCUUGGUCACUUCCUUAACAUUCUCCACAGUCUGGGCACUUACUUGCUCACAGUGAGGUGUUCCCAAAGAACAAAUGGUGCCAUUUCUGCGAGUGCCUUAAAAUCCCUGCCAACACAGGACUGGUAGUAUCUGGUGAUACCGCCGGACAGAGAUGACGUACGUCCUGAUGCAGGGAAGGCUGUUAUUUUGGCAGCUAUGCUCUUCUUCAAAAAUACUGUGGCUUUCUGCAUCAGGUCUUUGAAGAGGUACUUGUAUGCACCCAAGAGGAUAGUAUGGAGACAUUCAAUAGGGGUGCUCCUAAACAGUUACAAAUAAUUAUUAUACAGUUAUGCCAUGUUACUGAGCUCUUACUUGUACAAAUCAACCGAAAGCUGAAAGAGUGCAUUGGUCUGACCAUACAAGCCAUAUUUUGUCUGCAAUUGCUUAGCAAGAGACUUUGUUUGUGCCCGGUUGAUGAUCCCCAUCUGAUUUAGUGAUGCCUCCUUUGAGCGCCGUCUGGAUAUCAUGUGAGCCGUUGUGUCUCUGUUACUCUGCAAUACAUAAUAAUGUGCAGUUGUAUGAUGAUUUAUAUGCUGUGUGAAUGUGUGCUCAAAUUGUUUACCAUGCAUAUCCGACAGUAGUGUUUGGCUGCACUACCCAGGUGUGAGGUGAGCUCUGAAGCACGAGGAUUGUCACAGAUCAGCGCUAUCACUGUAGCAAUCAGCAGCACUUCACAUUGGAGAUGAGCAUCAUACACAACGAUCCCUUCCGUCUCGAGUUUCACCAAGUCCUCAAUGAAGCCUUCAGCCAGGUCAAUACAGUCCAUUUCGUUUGAGCAGACAUUAGGAAGAGUUUGGCCAAAUUGGAACUCAGAGAAACCUGCAAUUAUUGGAUUAUAAUGUCGAGUUUUGAAAAUGCUAUCUAUGUACUUACACCCCACGACGUGCUUUCCACGGUAAAAACGUGAGAGUUUUUCUCAAUCAUUGUUUUUAACGUGUCAAUGGCCUUCCUGCUGUGUUGUUGCUCUUCUUGCACUUGUCUUAGUUUAGCUUUAAUUUCCUUUAAUUCCUUCAGCACUUCCUAUGUGUUAGUAAAACUUAAAAAUACAUUAAUUUUUAGGAAUUACUGUCAGAAUAGGAUUGUGUGAGUGCUUGCUUGGGUGAUUUGUGGAGGGUGCAUUGCCCAGAUGGUAAACCCCGCCAUUGACCAGUUUCGUUGUAGGAGCCAGAACCCUCUGUAUUUAACAAACAUGUUGUCGAUUGUAUUGUGCACAUAUAGUUUAUACCUUCUUUCUGUCUUGAAUGACUUUGCUUGCAAUGUCAAAACUCAUGCUUGUGCUUAAUUCACACAGAGCUCUCUCCACUGUGGUGGCUUCGAUUUCGACAGGUUCCGAACCCCCAAAGUAAAUUAGUACCAACGUUUUCCUACAUUACGGAUGUAUAAACAUGUAUUGUGUGCAUUUGAGAAGGAUAAUUUUGUCGCAAUAUAAACAUUAUGCAAUAAUACUUACUUUCGUUCUUUUGUUUUGACUGUAGGUAAGUCUGACGUCUUGAACGGAGCAGCAAAUACCUGGCCAAUGAAUAAUAAUUAUUGUAUUCUAUCUAUAUCUUAUCUUACUUUAGAUGUACUUGGAAUGUUUGCCAUAUUCAUUCUAUCUCAUUAAUGGUGUGGGUAUGACAGCUGGACUUGCUUCCAAAAGUAUGCGCAUGCUCAGUGAUUAACGUGCCGUGUACAGGACGUGGGUGCUACACCCUGAUACAGGCCCGUAUUUACAGGCUGUAAACAGGAUGUAGCCCCACGUCCUGUGUACAGCC
Long non-coding RNA from Halichondria panicea, 3746 nucleotides. RefSeq lists it as uncharacterized. The transcript has 7 exons. The record is from RefSeq and is a predicted model, not a curated record. Lineage: Eukaryota; Metazoa; Porifera; Demospongiae; Suberitida; Halichondriidae.